RNAcentral lists this ribosomal RNA (485 nucleotides) under uncultured bacterium. RNAcentral describes it as "partial 16S ribosomal RNA". It matches the Rfam family "Bacterial small subunit ribosomal RNA", at positions 28 to 507 of the family's 1533-position model. The record is from RNAcentral.
GAUGAACGCUAGCGAUAGGCUUAACACAUGCAAGUCGAGGGGCAGCGAGGGUAGCAAUACCUGUCGGCGACCGGCGCACGGGUGAGUAACGCGUAUGUAACCUGCCCGCAACAGGGGGAUAACCCGGCGAAAGUCGGACUAAUACCGCAUAAAACAGGGGUCCCGCAUGGGAAUAUUUGUUAAAGAUUUAUCGGUUGCGGAUGGGCAUGCGUACCAUUAGGUAGUUGGUGAGGUAACGGCUCACCAAGCCUUCGAUGGUUAGGGGUUCUGAGAGGAAGGUCCCCCACACUGGUACUGAGACACGGACCAGACUCCUACGGGAGGCAGCAGUGAGGAAUAUUGGUCAAUGGGCGAGAGCCUGAACCAGCCAAGUCGCGUGAAGGAUGGCUGCCCUAUGGGUUGUAAACUUCUUUUACAAGGGAAUAAAAUGAGAUACGUGUAUUUUAUUGCAUGUACCUUGGGAAUAAGCAUCGGCUAACUCCGUG